This 301-nucleotide ribosomal RNA is filed under the name uncultured bacterium. RNAcentral's name for it is "partial 16S ribosomal RNA". It matches the Rfam family "Bacterial small subunit ribosomal RNA", at positions 509 to 808 of the family's 1533-position model. The record is from RNAcentral.
CAGUCGCCACGGUAAAACGUAGGUGGCGAGCGUUGUCCGGAAUUAUUGGGUGUAAAGGGAGCGCAGGCGGACAUAUAAGUCCAUCUUAAAAGUGCGGGGCUCAACCCCGUGAGGGGAUGGAAACUGUAUGCCUUGAGUGCAGGAGAGGAAAGCGGAAUUCCCAGUGUAGCGGUGAAAUGCGUAGAGAUUAGGAGGAACACCAGUGGCGAAGGCGGCUUUUUGGCCUGUAACUGACACUGAGGCGCGAAAGCGUGGGGAGCAAACAGGGUUAGAUACCCCUGUAGUCCCUGUCUCUUAUACA